This is a regulatory RNA element of Photobacterium damselae subsp. damselae CIP 102761, 104 nucleotides long. It matches the Rfam family "Glycine riboswitch aptamer". Rfam says of the family: This family represents the bacterial glycine riboswitch. Glycine riboswitches usually consist of two metabolite-binding aptamers domains with similar structures in tandem. The aptamers cooperatively bind glycine to regulate the expression of downstream genes. The record is from Rfam. NCBI's taxonomy places the organism in Bacteria, Pseudomonadati, Pseudomonadota, Gammaproteobacteria, Vibrionales, Vibrionaceae.
GGAGGAGCCUCUGGAGAGACUCGUUAAAUCGAGCGCCGAAGGAGCAAGUUAAACAGCAUAAUCUGUUUAGUGAAACUCUCAGGCAAAAGGACAGAGGAGAUAAG